UAACGCCUGCGGUAUUCGUGAUAUUAUUUUUGUUUUUGAACCAAUUACGAACGGGAAGUCGAGCCAUUUGCGGCGCACGAGCCGGACAUGAUUCGGAUGUGUAAAGCAGAUAAGGUAGACAUCCACCUUGUUUCCGGUUCGCUAAAACAAUAAUACACGGUACUGCGGGUUAAUA
RNAcentral lists this non-coding RNA (175 nucleotides) under Candidatus Cloacimonadota bacterium. Its description in RNAcentral is "Candidatus Cloacimonetes bacterium (marine metagenome) 6S RNA". It matches the Rfam family "6S / SsrS RNA". Rfam says of the family: E. coli 6S RNA was the first non coding RNA to be sequenced, but its function was unknown until recently. It consists of 184 nucleotides that fold into an extended hairpin structure with a large single-stranded internal bulge. The 6S RNA specifically associates with RNA polymerase holoenzyme containing the sigma70 specificity factor. Lineage: Bacteria; Pseudomonadati; Candidatus Cloacimonadota. The record is from RNAcentral.